GGUUAAGGUUAGGGUUGGGGUUAGGGUUAGGGUUGGGGUCGGGGUCGGGGUCGGAGUUAGGGUUGGGGUUAGGGUUGGGGUUAGGGUUAGAGUUAGGGUUGGGGUUGGGGUUGAGUUGGGGUUAGGGUUAGGGUUAGGGUUAGGGUUGGGGUUAGGGUUAGAGUUAGGGUUGGGGUUGGGGUUAGGGUUAGGGUUGGGGUUGGGGUCGGGGUCGGAGUUAGGGUUGGGGUUAGGGUUAGGGUUAGGGUUAGAGUUAGGGUUGGGGUUAGGGUUAGGGUUAGGGUUAGGGUUAGGGCUAGGAUGAGGGUUAGGAUGAGGGUUAGGAUGAAGGGUGGGAGAAGGUUAGGAUUUGAAGUUAGGUUUAGGGUUAGGAGUGGAAGAAGGUUGGGUUAGGGUUAGGGUUAGGGUGAGAGGUUGGAGAAGGUUAGGGUUUGGGUUAGGGUUAGGGGUGGGAGAAGGUUGGGGUUAGGUUUAGGGUGAGGGGUUGGAGAAGGUUAGGGUUAGGGUUUGGGUUAGGGUUAGGGGUGGGAGAAGGUUGGGGUUAGGGUUAGAGGGUUAGGGUUGGGGUUAGGGGACAAAGGUGGCGUUGGAGUUGAGAGUGUCAUAGAUUCAGUUGUUUACACCAGUUGUCAAAGAUGAGAGCUGCUGUUGUGGGGGCCCAAUUGAUGUUGUCAUUUGAUGUAAUGAAACUGUCAUGUGGUAUUGCAGAUAGUACUGGGUAAUAUGUUUUCAUGGCCUUGUUGUUUCGUUUCAGGUUGUCCUGUUGUUUCUGUGCUAACUGAGGGGAAUAGUUAAGAAUGGGAAAGUAGGUUUUUGAUUUGGGGAAGGUCAGUUUGGCAGUGCGGAAUAAUGCCUUUAAUUGUCUGAAUGUUUGUCUUGGGUCUUGGUCUCUGUCAUUAAUUCCCACAGCGAAAACUACAAUUUGGGUGUCCGGGUUAGACGGGGACUUUUCACAGACUUUUAAAAAUUGAUUUUGGCCUGUUUCGACCUGCAUUGUGAUGGGGUACAUAGCUCAGUCAGAUCCACCUGGGCACCAGCGGAGGGCAGUUGUGGAGAAGAGGGGACGAUCUUGUCUGGACCGCCUUCUACAAGAGGGAGUAACCAGAAUGAAGAGUUUUGGUCUUUCAGAUAGAGAAGAUCCAGAUCUUCAGACAUCAUUUAGAAAGUUGUGGACAAAGGAAAACAUAAAGAGAUCCUGACCUCACUGUCCUUUUGUGCAAUGACAGGAGCUCCAUCCUGAGCUCCAUCCACUGGUCUCCAACCCUUCCCCUGCGAUGAUUUAUGCCUCAUUAUCUAUUAUUAUUGUUAUUGUUGUUAUUAUUGUUGUUAUUAUUAUUCAUAUGGUGAACACAGCGGUGAGAGCUGAGCUUCUAUAUGCAGUCACACAAGGUGGCAAACAUCAAGAAGUGACCAGAGCCACAUUUUACACAUCUGAGUAAAGAUCUGUCUCCUGUGUGUGUGAGUGUGUGUGUGUGUGUGUGUGUGAGUGUGUGUGUGUGUGAGAGAGAGAGAGAGAGAGAGAGAGAGAGAGACAUUAACCAAACUUUAUGAAGCUAGUAUCAUGAAAAUUGAUUAGUCGUACAGAAAAGAAGGUUAAUCGAGACCUUAAAUAAGGACUAUAACUCUCUAUCUGCGUCUCUCUGUGUCCCUCUAUGUGUCUCUCACUCCGUCUCU
RNAcentral lists this long non-coding RNA (1674 nucleotides) under Takifugu rubripes (torafugu). RNAcentral's name for it is "lncRNA (ENSTRUG00000030727.1)". Lineage: Eukaryota; Metazoa; Chordata; Actinopteri; Tetraodontiformes; Tetraodontidae. The record is from RNAcentral.